This 925-nucleotide long non-coding RNA is filed under the name Homo sapiens (human). RNAcentral's name for it is "HSALNT0370696". The record is from RNAcentral. Lineage: Eukaryota; Metazoa; Chordata; Mammalia; Primates; Hominidae.
GAAAGAUAAAGUGAUAAAGAAGAGCAAGAUCCUAUGAGGGUGAAAUUCUGACCUCAUUUCUUUUGCUGGUUCUCAUUUCAGGUCAUUUGAGGCAGCAGAUACUCGGGUGCUAAAAAUCCCUCCAAACAUCUCAACAUUUUUUCCCCCUCGGGAUCAGUAUGGUGUCACGGGAAGAAGUUUAAAGAAUGAAUAGCAUGUCCAGCCAUCCCACUGUGUGUCUAUAGAUGCCAGGCCAGCCCAGGAGAUGCACUUUCAGAUUCCUGAUGGCAGCCGCUAUAAGCAAAAGUUUCCUGGAGGUGCUCCUCUCUCUCCAAUCAGCUUCCCAGUUCUACAAAACUGGACUUCAGGUUGUCACAUAUAGAGGUUUUCAACCACUAUCAGCUUUGGUCUUCCAUGGUAUUCAGCAAAGAACUAGCCCACAUAUUGUAGUGAAGACUCCCUUAGAUCACAUGACAGUAUUUGAGACUGGAGAUGCCAUGUAGUGAGUUUGUUUUUUUUUUUUGAAAUGAGAAGCGAGACAUCAACUCACGGGUAAAGUACCCAUAGCCGUUAUUUUUUCCCUCCAUUCUUCCCUCUCUCCCUUCACCCCAGCUAAAGACAGAAUUUGACUUCAAAUUAAUUUGAGGCCAAUGUUUUUCAUACUGCUAGUGCUGAGAGAAGAAAGGCAACGGCUUCUCACCCGUGUUAACUUAUACUUUCUCUUAACCCAAGGAAUCAAUACUGUAUCACUUAGUCCUGGGAAGAGGGAGUAAAAGGUAGUUGCCUGAAUGAACCUUUGGCAUUCAUUUAUCUACAGAACCCUCCAAAAACAAAAUUCCUAUUGAAAGGAAACCUGCACAGCACCAGCUUGUACCUUGCACCUGUUCUGUUAAAGUCAUUCACAGAGCAGAAUACAUUAGAAUAGAUAAAAUGUUUUGGUGUGCAA